GUGGGUCACAAGCGUUAUCCGAUGUUACUUGGCGUAAAGAGUGCGUAGGCGGUCUUUUAAGUUACCUUUCAAAGCUCCCGGCUCAAUCGGGAAAGGGGAGGCAAUACUGGAAGACUAGAGUUACCUUUAGGGAAAUCGGAAUUUACGGAGGAGUAGUGAAAUGCGUUGAUACCGUAAAGAACACCAAUGGCGAAGGCAGAUUUCUGGAAGGCAACUGACGCUGAGGCACGAAAGCUAGGGGAGCGAACCGGAUUAGAGACCCGGGGUAGUCCUAGCUGUAAACGAUGCUCGCUGGUUGCAUUCUCCCUCCCUUUGGGGGGGAGGGUGUGGCGAAGCUAACGCGUUAAGCGAGCCGCCUGGGAAGUACGGUGCAAGGCUG
Molecule: ribosomal RNA, 379 nt
Filed under: uncultured organism
Description: partial 16S ribosomal RNA
Rfam family: Bacterial small subunit ribosomal RNA
Source: RNAcentral